Triticum aestivum (bread wheat) is the source of this 3106-nucleotide RNA transcript. RefSeq lists it as uncharacterized. The transcript has 8 exons. The record is from RefSeq and is a predicted model, not a curated record. Lineage: Eukaryota; Viridiplantae; Streptophyta; Magnoliopsida; Poales; Poaceae.
CUUCUCUGUUUUAUCCAAACUAGGUCACACCUGCGUCAUUUCGUUCGCCGUCUCGGUUGUGUUUUGCCCUGGCCUCUCGCCGAGCCGCCACCGCCUGCCAUCGAGCCUCUGGUGUGCGCCUACACCUCCCCCUUCCUGACUCGGCUUCUCUGUGAAGGUUUCUAUGUCUGCCUAGGAGCUCCAGGAUCACGGCUCUUCGAGCUCGGCUGCCUCCACCAACAAUAAUCUGCGAGCGCUUGCCCAGACGAUGAUAUGGAGAUCGUUGAGAUUUCGGGUACAUAUGUACUCGGAGGUAUAUUAGAUAAACUCGACCUUCCAGCGCCACGCUAUCACUCUCGAGCACAUCGAAGGGGCCAGUUUGUAAGUAAUGUUACAUUUUAUCCCUUCAAAGAACAUCUGCGGCACCCGUCUACAGCGGUCCAGCUCUCGAGCUCUCCCUGCAUAACUUGCAGAGCACAAUAGAUGUAGUUCUCAAAAGGCAAUAGACUAUACGGAAGAUCACCAGAGGAAGGUCCUGCAAGACUACAACUAUAUUGAAUUGAAAAGAUCAGAGGAGACCAACUUACAACUGAGAAAGAUGAAAGGAUCAAAGGGCUAGCGACGACAACUGGUAACUACAUAGGUUUCAACAUGAAUCCUGUGAACCUUCUGUCCAAAGUCAUCCUAGAUGCUAUGUUUGAGAAAGUCGGCCUUCCAGCGGCCGCCUACUCGGCACGUGCAGUUCAUCUCGGGUGCGUUGAAGUCACAGUCGGCUUCCAUCCAAUUUCCAGUGAACUGGAGCGUCCUGUUAGUCAGACAUAUAUUUCAACCUUUGCUUUCACUGAUCUGGAAGAAGCGCAGAAUCAUGUUGCGCGUAAAGCCAUGGAAUUCAUGGAGAAGGAACACAAUGUGGUCCCAAGUGAUUAUAGCUAUAACAAACUUCAGUCUGCUAGGCUUAACAACGAGUCACUGCGUCAGCGUCUGAAAGAAAAGGACCGCAGUAUCGAAUCAUUGAAAAAGGUCAAUACAUCUCUGGUGCAGCAACUAGAAGAGAAGAACAACAUCUUGACUCUAUUAUGAAGACAAAUAGAGACAUGAUGGAGAAGCUGGCUGAAAAGGAUGCAGUCAUUGAAUCCAUCAACAAGGUCCAUCAAAUACUGCUGAAGCAGCUUAGUGAGAAACACGAGAUCAUAAAAAAGCUCAGCAAAGGCUGGGAUAACUCACUGGAUACUGGAUUUUCAGCAACCAUCCAACUUCAGUGUCUGAUUGAUGAGGGCAUGUCCCAUGGAUCAACAUAGGCAGGCAUUGAGCUCAAUGCGACUCUCCAGAAUGCUCAGCACAUAUGUGAGUACCUUGAGCAGAACACUAUCCUUGCUGUUGAGUACCUACAGUCCAUUGGGACAUAUCCAUAUGACCCAAAGCCAGGUUUUACUGAUGAUGAAGACAACUGUUCAGUGGACCCCGAGCCCGUGCCACCAGAGCAUCCACCCUACAUGAGAAGUUGUUUGGAUGAUGAGGAGAUCUUUGAUAGUGAAGGCAAUUGCUCUACAGACUACGACACUUUGCUCAAGGAGCACUACUGAUACAACAUCACCAACAUGCCAGCGUGAUUCUCUUGAGGAUCGCUCGGUGGUAUCAGCUUGCUAUCUUUUACUACGUGGCCACUUAAGGCACAUAUCCCAAUGUACAGACAGCCCGGAAGCCACAAGGACAAUGGCGUGGCACAUCAAAAGAGGCCCACCCAACUAGGUUAACUAUAUACCAGCUCUCUUUGCAUACCAUGUUUCCAGAUCCAUUCCCCUCUCCCUUCCACGAACCUCUUGUUCCAGUCCUGCCGCCGCCAUGGAUGAAUCCUCCUCUGCAUUGACAACCUCGUCCAUCAAGCUGGCCACGAAUGAUGAGCUGCUGUUCAAGGGCUUUUCUCCGAUUAGUUCCAAGUUGUUGUCAUCUCAUUCUCCUCUUCAUCCGUCGAUUUCAUAACCCAUUGCAUGCUGAUAUUUACAUUUUACCAUUUGUUAAAUCAAAGCAAUAUCCUAUCUGUGUCACCAUCAACAAGCAAUUCAUUCUUGAACAAGCAAUUGAAACAAUUGGUGGCACAAUCCAUCCAUUCACUUUCACUGACAUUGGUAGCGACGAUGUGGGCAUCUCUGUCUCCAUUGACCUGCCUCCACACAGCAAAAGCUUGUCAAGCACAACAAAGGAAUUUCAUGGACCAUGCAUUGAAUCUAUGUGUGUUGCCGCCCUUGGAUAACUGCAGAAAAUAGGUAUAAUCACGAUAGAUGAUGCAAAUUUCGCAUUUCAUGGACCAUGCAUUGAAUCUAUGUGUGUUGCCGCCCUUGGAUAACUGCAGAAAAUAGGUAUAAUCACGAUAGAUGAUGCAAAUUUCGCGGAGCUGAAAAAAUGCAAAAGAAAACUUCAGGCUGAGGAGUUCUGGUCGUCGACACUCUACGACCAGGCCAGCGCCCUGCAUGACCAACUCUCUUUACUGACCGUAAUCAACCAGGUCCCCAACCUAAGGCUAAACAAGAAGCUGUUGUGUUACCUUCUACGCAUCAGAAUACUGUACAUGCCAGCCAAAUCAUGCUGUCUAAGGAUACCACUGGAGGAGAAAGUGCAUCGACCCCGAUCACAGCAAAUAAUAAUAGCAUCCAUCGAGUGCCUUCUAAAAAUAACAAGAAGAUGAGGACCGCGCGUCGAGCGCUAUUCCCUGGAAAAUAGAGCGGCACAUACGCCAUUGUAGGCUCCCAUCAUUGCAACAACCCGAUGGAAAAAGCCGUUUUCCAUGUCUAUGUUGCAUCGAACCUUCCCAGAUUCAGGACCCGUCACUUUUGUCAUGCACACAGCUUGAUCUUGCAGCUGUAUAUACUGCGUCCGUAUUAGCUUCCUCUGGGCGCAUCGCUAUGUAUAAAUGCAUGGAACCCUCUGUUAUGCUACUGCAGAUUAGAUGCAAACCACAUGCUUUUGUAACUCCCCACGUCUUCCUGUCAUGUAAUGGACAUAUUAUGAGCAUAUCAUAUCUCUAUCUACGUCGAACAAAGUGGUUCCCAUACGUGAUCACAUGCAGUUUACAUUCAGGCUUUAUUACCUCUGAACAAUUAACAUUAUAAUCUAUGUUUUCAACAUGUUA